CCUACGGGUGGCAGCAGUGAGGAAUAUUGGUCAAUGGCCGGAAGGCUGAACCAGCCAAGCCGCGUGAAGGACGAAGGUGCCAAGCAUUGUAAACUUCUUUUGUCAAGAGACAAAAUCAGGCUGGAGAGCAUGACCGAGGGUACUUGAAGAAAAAGCAUCGGCAAACUCCGGUCCGACAGCCGCGGUAAUCGGGAGGAUGCGAGCGUUAUCCGGAUUUAUUGGGGUUAAAGGGUGCGUAGGCGGGCUGUUAAGUCAGCGGUAAAAGCCCGGGGCUAAACCCCGGCGAGCCGUUGAAACUGGCUGUCUUGAGAUGUCGAGAGGGAUGCGGAAUGCGCAGUGUAGCGGUGAAAUGCGUAGAUAUUGGGAAGAACUCCAGUGGCGAAGGCAGAAUACCGGCGACGAUCUGACGCUGAGGCACGAAAGCGUGGGUAGCGAACAGGAUUAGAUACCCCUGUAGUC
This 459-nucleotide ribosomal RNA is filed under the name uncultured bacterium. RNAcentral's name for it is "partial 16S ribosomal RNA". It matches the Rfam family "Bacterial small subunit ribosomal RNA", at positions 338 to 795 of the family's 1533-position model. The record is from RNAcentral.